This 164-nucleotide unclassified non-coding RNA is filed under the name uncultured Herpotrichiellaceae. RNAcentral describes it as "sequence contains ITS2". The record is from RNAcentral. Lineage: Eukaryota; Fungi; Ascomycota; Eurotiomycetes; Chaetothyriales; Herpotrichiellaceae.
UCAACUAUCAAGCCUGGCUUGUCGUUGGACCCUUUUGUCAAUGAAAUAUGUGACAGGUCCGAAAGAUAAUGACGGUGUCGUGUUUGACCCUAAAUGCAACGAGCUUUUUAUAGCACGCAUUGAAGUGGUCGGCCGACCCCAGUCUUUAACCAUCAUUUUUCUAA